UGUUUACCCAAACUUAUGCAUGGUAGCCAGC
RNAcentral lists this non-coding RNA (31 nucleotides) under Mus musculus (house mouse). Lineage: Eukaryota; Metazoa; Chordata; Mammalia; Rodentia; Muridae. The record is from RNAcentral.